UACGGGGGGGGCAAGCGUUGUUCGGAAUUACUGGGCGUAAAGGGCUCGUAGGCGGCCAACUAAGUCGGACGUGAAAUCCCUCGGCUUAACCGGGGAACUGCGUCCGAUACUGGAUGGCUUGAGUUCGGGAGAGGGAUGCGGAAUUCCAGGUGUAGCGGUGAAAUGCGUAGAUAUCUGGAGGAACACCGGUGGCGAAGGCGGCAUCCUGGACCGGUAUUGACGCUGAGGAGCGAAAGCCAGGGGAGCAAACGGG
Molecule: ribosomal RNA, 253 nt
Filed under: uncultured bacterium
Lineage: Bacteria
Description: partial 16S ribosomal RNA
Rfam family: Bacterial small subunit ribosomal RNA
Source: RNAcentral